This 254-nucleotide ribosomal RNA is filed under the name uncultured bacterium. RNAcentral's name for it is "partial 16S ribosomal RNA". It matches the Rfam family "Bacterial small subunit ribosomal RNA", at positions 524 to 776 of the family's 1533-position model. The record is from RNAcentral.
UACGUAGGGUGCGAGCGUUGUCCGGAAUUAUUGGGCGUAAGGAGCUCGUAGGCGGUCUGUCGCGUCGAUCGUGAAAACUUGGGGCUUAACCCUGAGCUUGCGGUCGAUACGGGCAUGACUGGAGUUCGGCAGGGGAGACUGGAAUUCCUGGUGUAGCGGUGAAAUGCGCAGAUAUCAGGAGGAACACCGGUGGCGAAGGCGGGUCUCUGGGCCGAUACUGACGCUGAGGAGCGAAAGCGUGGGGAGCGAACAGG